This 460-nucleotide ribosomal RNA is filed under the name uncultured bacterium. RNAcentral describes it as "bacterial SSU rRNA". It matches the Rfam family "Bacterial small subunit ribosomal RNA", at positions 337 to 794 of the family's 1533-position model. The record is from RNAcentral.
UCCUACGGGGGGCAGCAGUGAGGAAUAUUGGGCAAUGCCCGCAAGGGUGACCCAGCAACGCCGCGUGGAGGAUGAAUGCCGUAAGGUUGUAAACUCCUGUGAGAAGGGAUGAAAAUGUGGGUUCGAAGCCCACUUUGACCGUACCUUCAGAGGAAACCCCGGCUAACUACGUGCCAGCAGCCGCGGUAAUACGUAGGGGGUUAGCGUUGUCCGGAUUUACUGGGUGUAAAGGGCGCGUAGGCGGGUCUGUAAGUCAGAGGUGAAAUCCUACAGCUUAACUGUAGAGCUGCCUUUGAUACUGCGGAUCUUGAGUUCAGAAGAGAGAGAUGGAAUUCCAGGUGUAGUGGUGAAAUACGUAGAUAUCUGGAAGAACACCAGUGGCGAAGGCGAUCUCUUGGUCUGACACUGACGCUGAGGCGCGAAAGCGUGGGUAGCAAACAGGAUUAGAUACCCUGGUAGG